UCUAUAACAGCCAGGAUGUUGGCUUGGAAGCAGCCAUUCAUUUAAAGAGUGCGUAACAGCUCACUGGUCGAGAGAUCCUGCACGGAAAAUAAUCGGGCAUCAAACUACGAACCGAAGUUCUAAAUUCUAGCUUGCUAGAGUGGUAGGGGAGCAUUGAAAUCUGCACAGAAGGUGUAUCGCGAGAUAUGCUGGAGCGAUUUCAAAAGAAAAUGUAGGCAUAAGUAACGAUAAUUAAAGUGAAAAACUUUAACGCGAAAAGUCUAAGGUUUCCUGAUCAACGUUAAUCGGAUCAGGGUUAGUCUGGUCCUUAGGAAAACCCGAAAGGGGCAUCUGAUGGAAAGAAGGUUAAUAUUCCUUCACCUACUAUGCAAUAAAAGUGACGCAGGGACGUGGUGGUUGCGUACGGACGGAAGUGUACGCCUGAGUGGAGUCUUCGGACGAAGCGAAAUCAUAAAAUCCCUGCCAAGAAAAGCGAGCAUAGCAGCCAGUACCGGAAUCCGACACAGGUAGACGGGAUGAGUAUUCUAACGCGCUCGGGUGAGCCGUGGAGAAGGAACUAGGCAAAUUAACGCUGUAACUUCGGGAUAAAGCGUACCAUCGCGAGAUGGUCACAGUAAAAUGGUACAACCAACUGUUUAACAAAAACACAGGGCCCUGCAAAAACGUAAGUUGACGUAUAGAGCCUGAAACCUGCCCGGUGCUGGAAGGUUAAGGAAGGGUGUUCGGCGCAAGCCAAAGCUCCUGACUGAAGCCCCAGUAAACGGCGGCCGUAACUAUAACGGUCCUAAGGUAGCGAAAUUCCUUGUCGGGUAAGUUCCGACCUGCACGAAUGGUCUAAUGAGUUGUACACUGUCUCCUCCACGAGCCCGGUGAAAUUGUAGUAUCGGUGAAGAUGCCGGUUACCCGCCACGGGACGGAAAGACCCCGUGAACCUUCACUACAACUUUGCAUUGAUUUUGAGCAACAAAUGUGUAGGAUAGUUGGGAGACUUUGAAGCAGCAUCGCCAGGUGUUGUGGAGUCAUCGUUGAAAUACCAACCUUUUGUUGCUUAGAACCUAACCCUGAACAAGGGGACAUUGCAUGGUGGGUAGUUUGACUGGGGUGGUCGCCUCCUAAAAAGUAACGGAGGCUCGCAAAGGUACCCUCAGUACGGUUGGUAAUCGUACGCAGAGCGCAUUAGUAAAAGGGUGCUUGACUGUGAGACAAACACGUCGAGCAGGAGCGAAAGCUGGCUAAAGUGAUCCGGUGGUUCUGUAUGGAAGGGCCAUCGCUCAAAGGAUAAAAGGUACUCCGGGGAUAACAGGCUGAUCUUACCCAAGAGCUCAUAUCGACGGUAAGGUUUGGCACCUCGAUGUCGGUUCGUCACAUCCUGGGGCUGGAGAAGGUCCCAAGGGUUCGGCUGUUCGCCGAUUAAAGUGGCACGUGAACUGGGUUCAGAACGUCGCAAGACAGUUCGGUCCCUA
RNAcentral lists this ribosomal RNA (1463 nucleotides) under freshwater metagenome. RNAcentral's name for it is "bacterial LSU rRNA". It matches the Rfam family "Bacterial large subunit ribosomal RNA", at positions 1083 to 2640 of the family's 2925-position model. The record is from RNAcentral.